AGACCAGAAAUUCUCUGGCAGCCUUCCACGUUCCUCAACGACUCUCUGGUAGUCCAACAGCUGCUGCAUGUAGGGCCCUUGAUGAGCUACUCCUACCUCACGUGCCAACAGGCAGCGUUCCUUUAAAGAAUAUAAAUAAUAAUGACAUAAUUUGAUAAAAUAAUAGAAUAAUAUAAAAAAAAGACUUCGUGGAAGAAUAACAACAAAAAGACUAAAUACUCACGUUGAAGUCAUUCACGAUUAGCCUGAAACGUGUCUCCAUCUGUAAGAUCAAUGCCUUGAGCCUCCUUGGCCCUGCCCAUUCUGGACGGCUGCACCACCUUCUGUUGUUUGCAACAACCCUAUAACAAUAAAUAACCACGCAAAAAAAAUUAUUAAAAUUGAAAGGAAAAAGAAUUGAAUAAUGAAAUGAGAUGAAAUCAAUUCCAAGCUUCAUCAUUUCGAUAAGCCACCUUGUGCCAAUCCACAGGAUAGAAUUCGUCCUCGUACAGACCAAUACGAGCGCAAAACACGAAUAGAUCAUCCUGUCGAAUCGCUAAAUUAACGAAAACAUUACAUUAAUGCGAGGAAUGAUUUUUCAAAAUAUUAUAUUAAUCUUCAAAAAUUGAAAAGAUUCAAAGAUUCGAAAAUUAUACUUACACAUCUUUGACAAAUCAAUGCUGCAAUUAAAUCAACGCAGAUUAUGGCUUCAAUGACGUCUCAUAAACAAACCUGUUGGGAAGCAACGAUCGGUUGAUGUUUUCUUCAUAAUUGAUUUUCAGAAUUCAUUUUUUUCAUACCGCAGGCACCUCAACGUUAUUGGCACUGUAGUCAUUGCCGGUAUCAAACAAAAAGAAUACUACGGUUUUAUCAGAAUUUAUCAGAAUUCCGCAUUCAGGUUUAAUUGGGGAUACAAAAUACUGAACCCACAUGGAUACCGCCACUUUCGAGUUGAACGUUAAAACCUUUGUGAGCUUCCAAGCCAGCAAUGAGACUGAGCGCAAAAGAAUUCAUGGUUCGGAAAUCUAAUAGAUUGUAUAUCUCGAGGUUUAAUAAAAUCAUAAAAUUUUGCUCAAUAAUAAAAUCCACAGAUGACAGCGAAAUAAUUAGAUACAUCUUAAAAAGCGCCGAAGGUCUUUUCGAGUUGUCUUUGGGAAGUAAGGAGAUAUUUUCCAUUAAAAGGAUCGAGAAGAAUCAAAGUAAGCUGAUCUUCACCCAGUAUAAUGCAGGGCCAUCCAACGAAAUGAUAAUGACAAUAACCACCGAAGACGACAAUAAAUGACGAGUACUCAGACGACGAAGAACAUCAAUUUUAUAAAUUCUCUGCGAAAAUGGGAAAGAAGCAAGGGAAAAAUGAUGAUGAACUUGAGCGUCAAAUACUGAAAGUCUAUGUCGCGAAUUAUCGAAAGGUUGGCCCUAUGAAAAAGUAUAAGAGGAAAGUGGGGAUGUAUGAAGCUGUAGCAUAUAAAAUUAACAAAAAGUGCAAUGCCACCACAACAGGUAGUGGAAUACAGUCUACAGUGGAGCGUUAUAGAGCAGUUCAUAGGAAAGCUGUUGUAAAUAAUUCGAAAACUGGGAGAGCACCAGUUGACGUUCUACAUCCCGAUAUAUUCGAACAUCUUUGCUCAGUUGAUGACAACAUCCAACCAGAAUUGAUACGUUCUGUUGAGGGCGUACGUUACUACAAGAGGAAAUAAACUGAGUUCAUGAGUCUUCUUGUUAUUUCAACUCUUAAGAUCCCUCCACAUACUCAAAUGCUAGAGAACAUCCGGAUUAUUUAACUGAAAUUGGGAAUUGAAAAAAUGAAUUCUUAAAUGGACUCUCUUAAAUCACUAAUAAUAUUCACACAAACGGCCAGAGCAACAUAAAUUUUGAAUUGAAUGUGGAAUUGAAAUGUUGAAUGGUAAACGGUGAAAAGUCGAUUUCAAAUAUCUCCUCAAAAAUUGAAUUAUCCCAAUAAUGAGUGAGCUUUUUUUAAAUCACAAAAUUCCCCACAAAAAAAGUUUCUUGGUGUUUACUUCUAAAAUCACUCAUCAGUAAGAUAAUUCAAUGUAUAAUAAGAUCCGCAAAAUCGAGUUAUCACUGUUUGUCAGUUCGGUACUGAAAUGAAAAUGUCGUUAGGUGAAUUUCGCGUUCCUGUAAUAGAUUGAAAUACAAAUUGAUUUAUAAAUUAAUUCAUCAUUUUAUUAUGUAACAUUAUUAUAUGAUAGGUUUUCAUGCAGUUUCUUAAAAUCUUGAGGGAUUGAAAUAAGAUGAAGAAAAAAAAGGAGAUGCCCGGGCAACGGCUAUUGAACCAACUAAUUAUUUUCAUUCGGAAAAACAACGAAUGUGAAAAAAACUACUACUUAUUAUUAAUGCGAUUCUUCAUGUACUCGCGCUUCUGUUUCCCAAUCCUCACCGAAGUCCUUGGAUCAACGUUAAUGAGAGGAGUCCAAUCAUCGAUCUCCCCAUCCCUUUCAAUUAAUAAUUCAUCAUCGAACCUCAUAUUAUAUAACACACAGUAGCUGAUGAUGAAUUUCGACAUCUUGUCGACUGUCCACAUGUCAAUAUUCAUCAGUCCUCGGAACAUAGUUUUUAACCUACCGAUAGCAUUCUCGAUUAACACCCUCAUCUGGGAAAAUCGACGAUUGAAUUGUAUUUCUUCCCUCGACAGAUAUCUCCGACUGAACGGGGUGAUUAAGUUCUGUUGGCAUGUAUAGGCUGAGUCUCCAACUAAAUGAUAUUUUCCACCGAAUGAUCCUGGUAGUUUUUCAGAGAGUGGUGACAUGGAGAACAUGCAAGAGUCGUGAGUCUCCCCUGACAUGCCUGUGCAUGCAUUUAUAAAUCUUGUUUGAGAAUCGCACACGACUUGCAGACCGAGUGUCGUCUGCUUAUCGCGGUCACCAUACAUAGCUCUGACCUUGUGUGCUGGCGUACGUAUGCGAAUAUGUGUUCCAUCGAUUACACCCAGAACGUCAGCGAAAUCAUACGUCUAAUAAAUAAAUAAAUGAAUAGAUGAAUAUAUAAAUAUUUUAA
Molecule: long non-coding RNA, 2994 nt
Organism: Diachasma alloeum
Lineage: Eukaryota; Metazoa; Arthropoda; Insecta; Hymenoptera; Braconidae
Exons: 3
Source: RefSeq, a predicted model, not a curated record